UACGGGGGGGGCUAGCGUUGUUCGGAAUUACUGGGCGUAAAGGGCUCGUAGGCGGCCAUCUUAGUCAGACGUGAAAUCCCUCGGCUCAACCGGGGAACUGCGUCUGAUACUGGAUGGCUCGAAUCCGGGAGAGGGAUGCGGAAUUCCAGGUGUAGCGGUGAAAUGCGUAGAUAUCUGGAGGAACACCGGUGGCGAAGGCGGCAUCCUGGACCGGUAUUGACGCUGAUGAGCGAAAGCCAGGGGAG
RNAcentral lists this ribosomal RNA (245 nucleotides) under uncultured bacterium. RNAcentral's name for it is "partial 16S ribosomal RNA". It matches the Rfam family "Bacterial small subunit ribosomal RNA", at positions 524 to 768 of the family's 1533-position model. The record is from RNAcentral.